Molecule: long non-coding RNA, 1413 nt
Organism: Etheostoma spectabile (orangethroat darter)
Lineage: Eukaryota; Metazoa; Chordata; Actinopteri; Perciformes; Percidae
Exons: 2
Source: RefSeq, a predicted model, not a curated record
UUACCGAAUCCAUGCACGGAUUUACAUGAAGCGUAAGCAAGCCAAAUAGUUAACCAGAGAGAGAGAGAGAGACCAAAACAGCAUGGCUGUUUCCACCAUCUUAGAUUGUAUUGAUUAUUCUUCGCUGUAACGUCUGUCUCUCUCACACACUCACGGUAGCCCUCUUUCUCUCCCUUUCUGUCUGUCCCUCCCUCCCUCUUUCUGCCUCUGUUCUGCCAUCUUCUCUACUCGGCGAUCAGCAUUUGGCUUUUUCCAUUUGUGGCAGAUUACUGUAACGCUAUUGUACAACAACUUCCUGCCUCUUUUGGCUCUGGUUCUACAAACUGCAAAAGCAGAGCUUGUGGCUUCAACUUUUUCCCCUCGACCUUUAACUAAAGGAGCUCUAUAAGGAAAGAAAAUGAGGAAGGAGAUAUGUAAACUGUGUCGGUGGCUGAGGAACUAUUUUCAUUGCAUUUCUGCUUUAUAAACUGCUGAGAAAUAAAGAGGGCAAGAGGGGACUACAUGCCUAGCAGAGACAAUAAGAGAAACAAAGGAUUCAAAAAGAAGAAGAAGAGGAAGAGAGACAGAGAGAGAAAAGGAGCAAGGGAAAGUUCCUCCUGGGAACAAGCUGGAAAUUAUGGACCGAUAUCAGACCUCAGAGUGGACAACCUAUCCAAAGAGGGACGCGCCCUAACUGUAACUAACAACUACUUCUGGCAGCCCUUCAACAGCCAAACAUAUUGUCCUGGAUCAGGGCAGCUUUCCUAUGGCAGCAUCGAACUAGGGCAGCUAAGGCAAGAAAUCAUUUCAAACUGCAGUAUCAAUAUUUGGCAUUGAAAGUAAAUAAAUGUAUUUCCCAAUAAGGUAGUUUUAAUUGUAAACGACGAUACCUUCAAUUUUAUGGAGAUUUUAUGCAUCAUAUUUGAACAUGUUAAGGUGAUUCAGACUAAGACAGAUUAAACAUUUCUUCACCUUGAGCCACCUGAGACAAAAUGGGAAUAUGUGUGAAUAAUGUGAUGUUACGAGACCAUAAUGUACCUCUGAUACAUGGUACACCAAUUUAACCAUAUAUGAGUCUGAAGAUCUACAUUUUCAGUUGCCACUAUUUGACAUAAACAGAAGCAAGCACAAAUAUGUUUUGCAUUAACAUGUGAGAUGACAUUAAUUAUAAUAUAAAAUAAUGAUAUUUAAAUAUACUAAAAUGUACUUCAGAUUAAUUGAAAAAUCCAUUUAAAAGUUAUUUAUUAAUUGUAAUACCCAUGUCAUUAUAAUCAUUAUGAGGUAAUAUAUCAUUUCAUCAACACUAAUGAUGGGUAUUAAGUGGUGUUACCCAAACUGCACUGUAAAAACAAUGAUCUAAGGCACUACAUUACCUGAGCUACCGUGACAAAUUCUCAAAAGUCAAUGAGGCACAAUAAUAAAAAGCUAAUUCUC